GGUAAAUCUCGUGCCAGCCACCGCGGUCACACAAGAGACCCAAGCUAAUCGUUUGCGGCGUAAAGAGUGGACUCAUGCUUAUCACACUAAUUAAGGUCAAAACGCAACUGAGCUGUCAUAAGCCUAAGAUGCAUUUAAAACCGCCCUAAAGAUGACCCUAAAUUCACAAGACUUAAUGAACUCCACGAAAGCCAGGGCACAAACUGGGAUUAGAUACCCCACUAUGCCUGGCCCUAAAUCUUGAUGCUCUAUAUAACCAAAGCAUCCGCCUGAGAACUACGAGCACAAACGCUUAAAACUCUAAGGACUUGGCGGUGCCCCAAACCCACCUAGAGGAGCCUGUUCUGUAAUCGAUACUCCACGAUACACCCGACCACUUCUUGCCAUGGACAGCCUACAUACCGCCGUCGCCAGCUCACCUCCUCUGAGAGCACUACAGUGAGCACAACCGCCCUAACCCCGCUAACAAGACAGGUCAAGGUAUAGCUUAUGAAGUGGAAGAAAUGGGCUACAUUUUCUAAUCUAGAAAAUCCCACGAAAAGGGGCAUGAAAUAGCCCCUAGAAGGCGGAUUUAGCAGUAAAGAGGGAUAAUAUAAGCCCCCUUUAAGCUGGCUCUGGGGCACGUACAUACCGCCCGUCACCCUCCUCAUAAGCUCUAAACUACCAAUAAAUAAUACUCCUACCUGCUAAAGAUGAGGUAAGUCGUAACAAGGUAAGCAUACUGGA
RNAcentral lists this ribosomal RNA (726 nucleotides) under Columba livia (rock pigeon). Its description in RNAcentral is "partial 12S ribosomal RNA". It matches the Rfam family "Bacterial small subunit ribosomal RNA", at positions 495 to 1509 of the family's 1533-position model. Lineage: Eukaryota; Metazoa; Chordata; Aves; Columbiformes; Columbidae. The record is from RNAcentral.